Molecule: ribosomal RNA, 450 nt
Filed under: uncultured bacterium
Lineage: Bacteria
Description: partial 16S ribosomal RNA
Rfam family: Bacterial small subunit ribosomal RNA
Source: RNAcentral
CCUACGGGUGGCUGCAGUGGGGAAUUUUGGACAAUGGGGGCAACCCUGAUCCAGCCAUGCCGCGUGAGUGAAGAAGGCCUUCGGGUUGUAAAGCUCUUUCGGCCGGGAAGAAAUCGCUCAAGCUAAUACCUUGGGUGGAUGACGGUACCGGAAGAAGAAGCACCGGCCCACUACGUGCCAGCAGCCGCGGUAAUACGUAGGGUGCGAGCGUUGCGCGGAAUUACUGGGCGUAAAGCGAGCGCAGGCGGGGGAAAUCCCUGGGCUUAACCUGGGAACUGCGUUUGUGACUGCGGUGCUCGAGUGCGGCAGAGGGGGGUGGAAUACCACGUGUAGCAGUGAAAUGCGUAGAGAUGUGGAGGAACACCGAUGGCGAAGGCAGCCCCCUGGGUGGACACUGACGCUCAUGCACGAAAGCGUGGGGAGCAAACAGGAUUAGAUACCCCGGUAGUC